Molecule: ribosomal RNA, 915 nt
Filed under: uncultured Bacillota bacterium
Lineage: Bacteria; Bacillati; Bacillota
Description: bacterial SSU rRNA
Rfam family: Bacterial small subunit ribosomal RNA
Source: RNAcentral
UGGAUCCAGACUUUGAUCAUGGCUCAGGAUGAACGCUGGCGGCGUGCUUAACACAUGCAAGUCGAGCGGAACUCUUUUGAUUGAGGCUUCGGCCAAAUGAUUCUGAGUUUAGUGGCGGACGGGUGAGUAACGCGUGAGUAACCUGCCUUGGAGUGGGGAAUAACGGCUGGAAACGGUCGCUAAUACCGCAUGAAGCAUUGAGAUCGCAUGGUUUUAAUGCCAAAGAUUUAUCGCUCUGAGAUGGACUCGCGUCUGAUUAGCUAGUUGGUGAGGUAACGGCCCACCAAGGCGACGAUCAGUAGCCGGACUGAGAGGUUGACCGGCCACAUUGGGACCGAGACACGGCCCAGACUCCUACGGGAGGCAGCAGUGGGGAAUAUUGGGCAAUGGGCGCAAGCCUGACCCAGCAACGCCGCGUGAAGGAAGAAGGCUUUCGGGUUGUAAACUUCUUUUAUCAGGGACGAUAAUGACGGUACCUGAUGAAUAAGCUCCGGCUAACUACGUGCCAGCAGCCGCGGUAAUACGUAGGGAGCAAGCGUUAUCCGGAUUUACUGGGUGUAAAGGGCGUGUAGGCGGGACUGCAAGUCAGAUGUGAAAACUAUGGGCUUAACCCAUAGCCUGCAUUUGAAACUGUAGUUCUUGAGUGGUGGAGAGGCAAAUGGAAUUCCUAGUGUAGCGGUGAAAUGCGUAGAUAUUAGGAAGAACACCAGUGGCGAAGGCGAUUUGCUGGACACUAACUGACGCUGAGGCGCGAAAGCGUGGGGAGCAAACAGGAUUAGAUACCCUGGUAGUCCACGCCGUAAACGAUGGAUACUAGGUGUGGGGGGUCUGACCCCCUCCGUGCCGCAGUUAACACAAUAAGUAUCCCACCUGGGGAGUACGAUCGCAAGGUUGCAACUCAAAGGAAUUGACGGA